Molecule: long non-coding RNA, 377 nt
Organism: Aethina tumida (small hive beetle)
Lineage: Eukaryota; Metazoa; Arthropoda; Insecta; Coleoptera; Nitidulidae
Exons: 2
Source: RefSeq, a predicted model, not a curated record
GAUAAGCAAAUGGUCAGGGCGACUGAACUGCGUUAAAAUUGUGAAACGUGUCGCAUUCAGAUCACACCAAGUGAACAAUGCGUACCGAGUUGCUCGUGGUUCUGGCUAUUGGACUUCUGUUCGCGUUGUGCGCGGCCGAGGAACUACCCACUGACGACACCGUCCAUAAACCGAAGAAAAAAGGUGCUGCCAACAACAUAGUGUUUACAGUAAGAACGUCUGAACCAUGUCCGGAUGGUUAUAAGAAAGUCAAGAUACAGAAUAAAAUCCGUUGUAAGGAAGUAAAGAAAUAUUGAAAAUGACUUAUUAAUUUAUUACUUAACUAUUGUGCACCUCUUCGAAAUGUACGUUUAAUUUAAUAUAAUUUUGAUCAUUGC